Bicyclus anynana (squinting bush brown) is the source of this 775-nucleotide long non-coding RNA. RefSeq lists it as uncharacterized. The transcript is spliced from 5 exons. Lineage: Eukaryota; Metazoa; Arthropoda; Insecta; Lepidoptera; Nymphalidae. The record is from RefSeq and is a predicted model, not a curated record.
GUGAAAUAGUGAAGGUGGUGUUCGUAUUGUGAUAAUCUGUCUCUUUGUCUAUUCGGUGAUGUUAAUUGCUUUCUUUUAUACGUAAUCAUUGAUUUAUUGCUGAGGUAAAUGGGAUCUGCGACUCGACGGUCUGUGGAUAAGAAACCGGACGGCUUCGGGAACCAGCUGCAAAAAAAAACUAGUUUCUCCCAGCGGCCAUUUUGUGAAACUAAAUCGAUUGGUGGCCAAAAAUCAAUUGUCACGCAUAACCUUUCCCUAUUGGCCCACUUUUUACAUUGGGGUGACACAAUGGACUCCGCUUUCCCCUUUUUUGCUCCUGGGACCCUUUUAAAUAUGAAUCCAAUAGGUUCAAACCUCCACAUACUUCUCUGCUGACUAGAAGCUUAGAAUACAACAAAAAGAACAAAAUUUAAACUUUCAAAAUUAUUUAUUUUUUUACAAGGAGCAGUCAUUUCUGAUAUAGAUUUGUCAACUUCAAAGACAAACGAAGCACGUCUUUACGAGUGAACUCAACUAUGUCGCAUAGCUCGCCCGCGCCGUCUCGGUAUCAACGACCGUGGUUGCAGACAAACAAAGUACGAAUGGGUUUAAUUCUCACAAAGUAUAAAUUAGAAUUGAAGAGAUCUCUCAAACAGGGAGAAAAGAAUGACCUUCAGACGGAGUGUUUCAGAAAACUUACCAAGUUUUAAGCACACACACCUACCUACCAAAUGAAAGUUUGACAUAUACCGUUGGAUGUGGAGUCUUACUCCAAACAGUACAAACCAUUCAUUGG